RNAcentral lists this ribosomal RNA (119 nucleotides) under Terrapene triunguis (Three-toed box turtle). Lineage: Eukaryota; Metazoa; Chordata; Testudines; Emydidae. The record is from RNAcentral.
GUCUACGGCCACACCACCCUGAACACGCCCGAUCUCGUCUGAUCUCGGAAGCUAAGCAGGGUUGGGCCUGGUUAGUACCUGGAUGGGAGACCUCCUGGGAAUACUAGGUGCUGUAGGCU